AGUUAAUUAGCUUAUAUGAAAGCAGUAUGCCUUGAAAGCAUACUAUAGAAGUUAAACUCUUCUAUUAACUU
Molecule: transfer RNA, 71 nt
Filed under: Tachycines zorzini
Lineage: Eukaryota; Metazoa; Arthropoda; Insecta; Orthoptera; Rhaphidophoridae
Description: tRNA-Ser
Rfam family: tRNA
About the family: Transfer RNA (tRNA) molecules are approximately 80 nucleotides in length. Their secondary structure includes four short double-helical elements and three loops (D, anti-codon, and T loops).
Source: RNAcentral